Molecule: long non-coding RNA, 279 nt
Organism: Canis lupus familiaris (dog)
Lineage: Eukaryota; Metazoa; Chordata; Mammalia; Carnivora; Canidae
Exons: 3
Source: RefSeq, a predicted model, not a curated record
CUGGGGGUUCAUUUAUUUAUCCUAUGCAUCUUUAUGUGGAUGUGCUCUGUGUUAUCAUCCAAGUGAAUAAGACACAGCCUCCAUCCUGAAGGAGCUCAAAAACCAGUGGAGACACAGACACAGAAACAGUAAUUGCAACAAUGAAGGCUGCAUCCUGCCCCACAACUCAGGGCAGUUCAGCUGGUGCUCACAGUCAGGACAGAGGGACGGAAUAUACAGAAAGACCCUCCUCUGCAAUCCGACCAACCGGAUAUUGGCAAUAACAAAUUGCUUCUGAGG